Molecule: long non-coding RNA, 295 nt
Filed under: Carica papaya (papaya)
Lineage: Eukaryota; Viridiplantae; Streptophyta; Magnoliopsida; Brassicales; Caricaceae
Description: long non-coding RNA (CPAP_LNC006602)
Source: RNAcentral
GGUAAUAGUCAGGAACUCUGGUAUAACUCAUCUUAUACCGCGGAAUUACUAGGCUGCCGGAGUGCUCUGUCGUACAUAAUUGAAAAAAGUUCAGGGAUCGGGGAACGGUAAUUACAGACUCCCGACCAGUUUACAAGGCGACAGCUUCUACUGAAAAACGAUUAUUCAACGUUCGGUUACAUCACGGAUGGUUGUAGAACUUCGAUUAGAACGAGACGAAAUGUUUCUGUUCAGUGGGUUAGACGUCUGAUCGCUCUGAAUCUCCUGUCUUCGUCCUCACUGUUAUGUACGAGAG